ACAAAAUUUAUUAAGUAUAAAAUUAAGUUUAAUUAAAGCUCAUUUAGCUGUCCAGUCGAGCACAAUCUUGAAUCAAGCCCGAGCAUUUUUAACUUUUCUAACAAAUAUGAUCCUAGUAUCAAUAGAAAAUUAUAAUUUGAGAAGGUUCGAGUAAUUUAUCAAAUUUUAAAAUUUGUUCAUAUUUGAAUUAUUUAUAUUUCGAGUCAAGCUCGAAUCGAAUUUUUAGUCAAACGAG
This 235-nucleotide long non-coding RNA is filed under the name Panax ginseng (ginseng). RNAcentral describes it as "long non-coding RNA (PGIN_LNC010378)". The record is from RNAcentral. Lineage: Eukaryota; Viridiplantae; Streptophyta; Magnoliopsida; Apiales; Araliaceae.